GUGGGAAUCUUCCGCAAUGGACGAAAGUCUGACGGAGCAACGCCGCGUGAGUGAAGAAGGUUUUCGGAUCGUAAAGCUCUUUCGUUAGGGACGAACGUGCUCUUUGUGAAUAAUGAGGAGUAAUGACGGUACCUAAAUAAGAAGCCACGGCUAACUACGUGCCAGCAGCCGCGGUAAUACGUAGGUGGCAAGCGUUGUCCGGAAUUAUUGGGCGUAAAGCGCGCGCAGGCGGGAUAUCAAGUCUGUCUUAAAAGUGCGAGGCUCAACCUCGUGAGGGGACAGAAACUGGUAUUCUUGAGUGUCGGAGAGGAAAGUGGAAUUCCAAGUGUAGCGGUGAAAUGCGUAGAGAUUUGGAAGAACACCAGUGGCGAAGGCGACUUUCUGGACGAUGUCUGACGCUGAGGCGCGAAAGCUAGGGGAGCGAACGGGAUUAGAUACCCCAGUAGUCC
This 449-nucleotide ribosomal RNA is filed under the name uncultured bacterium. RNAcentral's name for it is "partial 16S ribosomal RNA". It matches the Rfam family "Bacterial small subunit ribosomal RNA", at positions 355 to 796 of the family's 1533-position model. The record is from RNAcentral.